This 1550-nucleotide ribosomal RNA is filed under the name metagenome. RNAcentral's name for it is "bacterial SSU rRNA". It matches the Rfam family "Bacterial small subunit ribosomal RNA". The record is from RNAcentral.
AGAGUUUGAUCCUGGCUCAGAGUGAACGCUGGCGGCGUGGAUUAGGCAUGCAAGUCGAGCGAUACCGAUUUGUGAACACUCUCCGAGCGUAAGCAAAGAGAGUGGGAGCGUUUUGGUAUAGCGGCAGACUGGUGAGUAAUGCGUAGGUAAUUUACCUCUAAUUCGGGGAUAGCCUUGCGAAAGUAAGGAUAAUACCCGAUGUGUUCCCACCAACAAAAGUUGGAGGGAGUAAAGGCGGUUCGUAAGGAUUGUUGGUUAGAGAUAAGCCUACGUCCUAUCAGCUUGUUGGUAGGGUAAAGGCCUACCAAGGCGAAGACGGGUAGCUGGCCUGAGAGGGUGGUCAGCCACACGGGGACUGAGACACUGCCCCGACUCCUACGGGAGGCUGCAGUCGAGGAUCUUUAGCAAUGGGCGAAAGCCUGACUAUGCGACGCCGCGUGAGGGAUGAAGAUUUUCGGAUUGUAAACCUCUUUCGAUAGAGAAGAAUCCCCCCGUUCUGAAAAGGAUGGGGACUGACGGUAUCUAGAGAAGAAGCCACGGCCAGCUCCGUGCCAGCAGCCGCGGUAAUACGGGGGUGGCGAGCGUUACUCGGAUUUAUUGGGUGUAAAGGGCAGGCAGGUGUUCUGUCAAGUUAGAAGUGAAAUCCUUUGGCUCAACCAAAGAACUGCUUCUAAAACUGAUAGAAUUGAGGCCGAAAGAGGAGAGCGGAAUUCCCGGUGUAAGGGUGAAAUCUGUAGAUAUCGGGAGGAACACCAGUGGCGAAAGCGGCUCUCUGGUUCGGACCUGACACUGAACUGCGAAAGCUAGGGGAGCAAACAGGAUUAGAUACCCUGGUAGUCCUAGCCGUAAACGAUGAGCACUAGGUGUUGGGAGUUAACCUUUCAGCGCCGUAAGAUAACUCGUUAAGUGCUCCACCUGGGGACUACGGCCGCAAGGCUAAAACUCAAAGGAAUUGACGGGGGCCCGCACAAGCGGUGGAACAUGUGGUUCAAUUCGAUGCUACGCGAGGAACCUCACCAGGGUUUGACAUGCAGGAAGUAGGAAACUGAAAGGUGGACGACCUGUCAAAUCAGGAGCCUGCACAGGUGCUGCAUGGCUGUCGUCAGCUCGUGUCGUGAGAUGUUGGGUUAAGUCCCGCAACGAGCGCAACCAUUAUCCUUAGUUGCAACCUUUUAUUUUGCGAAAGCAGAAUAAGAGGGCACUCUAAGGGGACUGCCCGCGAUAAGCGGGAGGAAGGUGAAGAUGACGUCAAGUCAGUACGGCCUUUAUGCCCUGGGCAACACACGUGUUACAAUGCCCACUACAAAGCGUUGCCAAACCGCGAGGUGGAGCUAAUCGCAAAAAAGUGGGCUCAGUUCGGAUUGGAGUCUGCAAUUCGACUCCAUGAAGCCGGAAUCGCUAGUAAUGGCGGAUCAGAACGCCGCCGUGAAUACGUUCCCGGGCCUUGUACACACCGCCCGUCAAGCGAUGGGAGCUGGUGGUACCUGAAAUCUCCGAGUAAUCGGGGCCUAGGGUAAAACUGGUGACUGGCGCUAAGUCGUAACAAGGUA